Molecule: ribosomal RNA, 407 nt
Filed under: uncultured bacterium
Lineage: Bacteria
Description: partial 16S ribosomal RNA
Rfam family: Bacterial small subunit ribosomal RNA
Source: RNAcentral
AUUGAACGCUGGCGGCAGGCCUAACACAUGCAAGUCGAGCGGAGCGUCGGACGGGAGAGUAAUGCCUAGGAAUCUGCCUGGUAGUGGGGGAUAACGUCCGGAAACGGGCGUUAAUCCCGCAUACUAUCAGAUGAGCCUAGUUCGGAUUGGCUAGUUGGUGGGGUAAAGGCCUACCAAGGCGACGAUCCGUAAGUGGUAUGAGAGGCUGAUGAGUCACACUGGAACUGAGAAACAGUCCAGACACCUACGGGAGGAAGCGGAGGGGAAUAGUGGACAAGGGGCGAAAGCCUUAGCCAGCCAUGCCGCGUGUGUGAAGAAGGUCUUCGGAUUGUAAAGCACGUUAAGUUGGGAGGCGUUACCAACAUAAUAAGCACCGGCUAACUUCGUGCCAGCAGCCGCGGUAAUAC